Anas platyrhynchos (mallard) is the source of this 1764-nucleotide non-coding RNA. NCBI's taxonomy places the organism in Eukaryota, Metazoa, Chordata, Aves, Anseriformes, Anatidae. The record is from RefSeq and is a predicted model, not a curated record.
CCCUCUGCCCAUUGGCCUGGGAGCUUUCAUCACAUCCCACCCCUGGCCCUUUCUCUGUUGGUUGGGGGUGCUUCUCCUCAGCCCUGUCCUGUGGAAGGAUCUCAGACUGAGGAACACUGAUGGACCCCACUCUGGUAAUGUUGUUUGGAUGUUGGGAGCCUGCUCUAGUUGGAGCUGCCCUAACAGCCUUGUUUCCCACUGGUCCCAUUGGAGCCUAAUCCCAGCUCUGCUGCUGCUCUGUGGUCAGUCAGGACCCAGUUCUCCGGAUGGCUGUGUGUGCAAAAGAAGCUUGGGAGUAAACCUCAAACACCUUGAAUAGAGUGUUACCUCUUACAUGCCAUAUGAACCAAUCAUCAAUAUGGAGUGUGUUGUGGACAAUAUGUCAUCAAUAUGGAGUGAGUAUGUAGACCUGUUGUCUACCUCUUGAAGCAGGACGUACGGACAUCUGACCAAGUCGCCCUCUCCUGUUCCUUUCUGCAAAAUGACCAGGUGUGACUGUGCCGGUGUUGCUACAACUUGAAGGUUUAUCAUCGUGCAGCUUACCGGUGCUGGCGUGAAAUCGUACCGCUUUGAUGCACUCGCAGCUGAUUUCUAGAUCAGUGGCUGAUCCUGUGAAAACGUACGGUCCCCUGACAGAGGUCAGCUGCAGAGCAGAAAUGCCAUGUUCCUGAUCAUAUGGAAAAUGGAAAGAGGAGCUGGGAAUGGGACUUGGAUCUCCAGCAUGGACACUGCUUUGUGGAUGGGUUAUCACAAAAGACUGAGGAAAACACAAAUGCUUCAGCCCACCUCCUGUCCAGGGUUCCCAGAGCGCUUCAAAGCCCCAGCUGAAUAAUAAAUGGCAUCUUCCAAGAGUUCUACACGUCCUUCCUUACGUUCGCUGCAGAUCCCAUCGCCUGCUGGAGCCCCCAAGCUUUUAUCCACAGAUGCAAAAAAUGCCCAGUGCGCUGUUAUUCAUGGAAGUCCUCAGCACGAUGAUUUGAUGAGGCCAUGAUCUUGGGGAGAUACCAAAUGAGGUGGGCUGUUUCAGAUGGAUUACACAGACAUCCCAAAUUGUAAAGGACAGGUUUGUGUGUCUGUGUGCGCUGGAAGGGAAGAAAGACUGCUGUCCUCCUGCACCUGACUGUUGGCUUUAAGGGUGCAGGGCACUGAAUGGCCCAGCACAGAGACUUCAUCCUCCAGCAGGGUGCCAGUGCCUCGGAGAUGAUGAUGUAGUCCCUAUGUGGGCCGCAGAAAGCACUUCGAGCCGUGCUGGAGUCGUGCUGGGUGGCUCUGAUAGCAGAGCUAAUGGGAGCGAAUGGGAUGCAACGAACUGUUCUAAUGACACCAGCCAGGGAAGAGACAACAGAGAUGAUGCAAGAAGAGUCAGACGUUCCUGCUGACAUCACCCCACGUGCCCGGGUUUUUCACAGCUCAACAUGGGAAGCAGCCCAGAGGGCUUCGUGGCAGCAGGACCUGCCAGACCAUGCCUGGUGCUGGGAGGAAGGAGCGCUAAAAGGGAUUGUCCCCCUCUGGUCCCCACUUUGCUUCUGCGUUUCAGCCUGUCAGCUUGAAGUGGGCAUGGGGAGACUGUCGUUGUAAAUCCCAAUCACACUUAGAGGAAGACGAUGCUUAUCCUCAGAACACUUUUUUUCCAAAUGUUGAACCUGUCUCUCUCUACUGUAGCUCUUUGCAGUAAUUAAAUUAUGUAAUGCAAAGCUUAAAGCCACUGAAAACAUAAUUACAAAAUGUAGAAUUAGUUCAUUAUAAAGGAUCAGCUGGCCUACC